RNAcentral lists this transfer RNA (73 nucleotides) under Plutella xylostella (diamondback moth). RNAcentral's name for it is "tRNA-Ser". The record is from RNAcentral. Lineage: Eukaryota; Metazoa; Arthropoda; Insecta; Lepidoptera; Plutellidae.
GCGUGGCGUAGUGGUUAGUGACCCUGACUACUGAUUGAGCCGAAGGUCCCGGGUUCGAUUCCCGGCUGGGGCA